Megalobrama amblycephala (Wuchang bream) is the source of this 2199-nucleotide non-coding RNA. The record is from the annotation of a RefSeq genome assembly. Lineage: Eukaryota; Metazoa; Chordata; Actinopteri; Cypriniformes; Xenocyprididae.
CUCCUGAAUCAUAUGUCUAAGCGGUUUACCUGAUUUUCCUCUUUUGAAGUUCUUCUAAAAGCUAUAGGCUUUUAGAAGAAGCAUUCCGGAGCACUUAUGGACCUGUUCUAUGUCUUCAUUAUCGCUUCUGCGUACGCAGAGUUACACUCCUACACCAGCACCUAUACUGGAGUAACGGGUAUUCCAAAACUUCCUUAUUUUACUGCUGUUACCAGAGUGGAUAAGCUGGAGGUUCAUUACUUUGACAGUAAUAUUAAUAAGCGCAUUCCCAAGAAAGAGUGGAUGAUGACGGAAAAAUUUCAAAACUUCUGGAAAGAUAUUAACGCCUAUCAUGAUGAAGUGUACAAGCAAUUGAAAAUCAAAAUUUCAGCAAUACAGCUGUGUAAACAUAACAUUAAGUUAGUAUGCCGUACAGUAGAAGAUUUAAUUUAUAAGUUAUAUAUAUUUUUAGUCCCUCCCAAAGUUUCUCUGCUGCAGAAGAACUCCUCCUCUCCAGUGGUGUGCCAUGCCACAGGUUUCUUCCCAGCAAAAGUGAAUAUUACCUGGAGAAAAAAUGGACAGGAGUACCAUGACCAUGUGGAGACUGGAGAAACUUUACCAAAUGUUGACGAAACCUUCCAGAAGCAUGUCAUACUCAGAGUGAAGACAGAGGAGUGGAAGAGGAACCAGUACAGCUGUGUAGUGUAACACAAGAGUUUGAUAAAAGACAUCCAGAAGAUUCUGACUGAAGAUGAAAUCAUAAGCAACAACAAAACAAACAACUCUUCACUUAAUCCAUUAAUUGUUGGAAUUAUUGUAAUUGGAUUCAUUGUGAUUGUGAUUGGUCUGAUUGUUCUGAAAAUUAGACAACCUGACAACUGUCCUAACACAAUUAGAAGCAGGAGCAACAUCGCACUUGCUGACCUGUCCUCUCUUUCAAGAAGUUAUAAUGCAUGUUAGUAAAGCCUGGGUUGUAUCAAAAUGAGAUGAUAUACUGGGCGUUAUCGAAAGGUUGUAGGUUUGUAAACCUGAAGAACUGGUUGUUUCAAUAAGUACUGUACAGUGUUUCCUUUACUCUUUACUUUAAAAACUGUCUGUAAAGGGUAAUAUUUUAUGUAUUUGAGGUCUGAGAUGUGGGAACGGUGAAGAGAGAGAUAUUAUUAUAUAUAUCGGCCAAUAUUGUCUCAAAUAGCAUGCAUAGCACUUCAUCUUUUAUAACAUGAGAUUUUGACCAAAUUUUGGUAAAAUGUUGCAACAAUUUUGUUAUUUUGUGUGUGUGUGAAAAAUUACAGUUUUGGACAUAUAAGGUAAUAAAUAAUACAUUAAAAAAUCCCUUAAAGUAAAUGAGCAUGUAAAGCAAAUAUCCGCCCCACACAAUGUUCUCACCUUUUUUCCCCCUUACCUGUUUGCAUCCCUGAAUAAGUAAUAAGUUUACAUUUAUUCAUAGUAUUUUAUUUAAAAUUAAAUAGAAUUAAAAAAAAAAAGAUUUUUAUUAUAAUUAAAAAAAAAAAAAAAGCCAAUUAAAAGUGUCGUGGCAAAUUUGAUGUCUCUGUGUCCCUUCAGUUCUGGUCUCGAAGAAAAAUUCACAGUCGAAGUUCCAGGUCUCAGAAGUAUUUAACUUUAUUGUCAAGCAACAAAGUGAGAUGCCAGUUCCACAUCUGAAUCUCUCUAGCCAGGGCACAGUUUUUAUACAUUUUUCUUAUCUGUUACAGUGUGAGAUCCACCCCUACAGUUAUUUUCCAUGAUCUCAUUUACAGGGGCUCUCCUCCCACACACCUUUCCCAUGUACUCCCCAACCUGUCCACCACAGUCAUUUCACCAAUAUAAUUGCAGGUGUUGCUUAUGUAAGAGAUAGGUUUCUUAGUAAGGGAGACCAACUUCCUACUACUGUACAUCUUUUGACUUAAUUUCUCAUGGGCCUUCUGCCAAUUGAUGGUCAACCCUUUUCUCACGGGCCAAAUGAAACAUUGUAUCAAAAACAAUCAACACUCCCCGGAGGCAAGAAGCCUUUCGCAUGACUCCCUUAAUAAUGGUCUUAUUCAUUUCACAGCCACCUGUUGUCUGGUGGAAAAUUACCAACAAAAUAUGCUUAUUGGCCAAGUUAACUUCUCAGAAACAUCUGACCCUUACAGUUACAUAGGCCAAGAGGCCUCAAAACACUUCUAGCUUUUAUAGUAAGCAAACUAAUUCUACAACUGUUUUCUAUAGGAUGGAUAAAAU